Molecule: ribosomal RNA, 468 nt
Filed under: uncultured bacterium
Lineage: Bacteria
Description: partial 16S ribosomal RNA
Rfam family: Bacterial small subunit ribosomal RNA
Source: RNAcentral
GACGAACGCUGGCGGCGUGCUUAACACAUGCAAGUCGAACGGAAAGGCCCUGCUUUUGUGGGGUGCUCGAGUGGCGAACGGGUGAGUAACACGUGAGUAACCUGCCCUUGACUUUGGGAUAACUUCAGGAAACUGGGGCUAAUACCGGAUAGGAGCUCCUGCUGCAUGGUGGGGGUUGGAAAGUUUCGGCGGUUGGGGAUGGACUCGCGGCUUAUCAGCUUGUUGGUGGGGUAGUGGCUUACCAAGGCUUUGACGGGUAGCCGGCCUGCGAGGGUGACAGGCCACAUUGGGACUGAGAUACGGCCCGGACUCCUACGGGAGGCAGCAGUGGGGAAUAUUGCACAAUGGGCGGAAGCCUGAUGCAGCAACGCCGCGUGCGGGAUGACGGCCUUCGGGUUGUAAACCGCUUUCGCCUGUGACGAAGCGUGAGUGACGGUAAUGGGUAAAGAAGCACCGGCUAACUACGUG